CCUACGGGAGGCUGCAGUGAGGAAUAUUGGUCAAUGGGCGAGAGCCUGAACCAGCCAAGUCGCGUGAAGGAUGACGGCCCUACGGGUUGUAAACUUCUUUUGUCAGGGAGCAAUUGGGUCCACGCGUGGGCUUAGCGAGAGUACCUGAAGAAAAAGCAUCGGCUAACUACGUGCCAGCAGCCGCGGUAAUACGUAGGUGGCAAGCGUUGUCCGGAUUUACUGGGUGUAAAGGGCGUGCAGCCGGGCCGACAAGUCAGAUGUGAAAUCCGCGGGCUUAACCCGCGAACUGCAUUUGAAACUAUUGGUCUUGAGUACCGGAGAGGUCAUCGGAAUUCCUUGUGUAGCGGUGAAAUGCGUAGAUAUAAGGAAGAACACCAGUGGCGAAGGCGGAUGACUGGACGGCAACUGACGGUGAGGCGCGAAAGCGUGGGGAGCAAACAGGAUUAGAUACCCCUGUAGUC
This 461-nucleotide ribosomal RNA is filed under the name uncultured bacterium. RNAcentral's name for it is "partial 16S ribosomal RNA". It matches the Rfam family "Bacterial small subunit ribosomal RNA", at positions 338 to 795 of the family's 1533-position model. The record is from RNAcentral.